UGGGGAAUAUUGCACAAUGGGCGCAAGCCUGAUGCAGCCAUGCCGCGUGUAUGAAGAAGGCCUUCGGGUUGUAAAGUACUUUCAGCGGGGAGGAAGGCGAUAAGGUUAAUAACCUUGUCGAUUGACGUUACCCGCAGAAGAAGCACCGGCUAACUCCGUGCCAGCAGCCGCGGUAAUACGGAGGGUGCAAGCGUUAAUCGGAAUUACUGGGCGUAAAGCGCACGCAGGCGGUCUGUCAAGUCGGAUGUGAAAUCCCCGGGCUCAACCUGGGAACUGGAUUCGAAACUGGCAGGCUAGAGUCUUGUAGAGGGGGGUAGAAUUCCAGGUGUAGCGGUGAAAUGCGUAGAGAUCUGGAGGAAUACCGGUGGCGAAGGCGGCCCCCUGGACAAAGACUGACGCUCAGGUGCGAAAGCGUGGGGAGCAAACA
Molecule: ribosomal RNA, 427 nt
Filed under: uncultured bacterium
Lineage: Bacteria
Description: partial 16S ribosomal RNA
Rfam family: Bacterial small subunit ribosomal RNA
Source: RNAcentral